RNAcentral lists this long non-coding RNA (301 nucleotides) under Phoenix dactylifera (date palm). Its description in RNAcentral is "long non-coding RNA (PDAC_LNC012201)". The record is from RNAcentral. Lineage: Eukaryota; Viridiplantae; Streptophyta; Magnoliopsida; Arecales; Arecaceae.
AGAGGGUCUUGAUUUGCGGGGUGCAUACGAUUUGGGUUCAGAAAUUAAUGAAUUUGACUUGACCUGCAUACAUUAAACUCAAUCAGUAAAUAAAUAAGGAAAACAAACUCGAAUUAAUUUAUUAAAAUGCAAUGAUGAGGGUAACACAUUUUUUAGUUAAAUUUACAAAAUAUGUGAAUUAAAAUAAUGAUAAAUGCUAUGAAUAAGAUAUGAAUUUAUGCAUUAUUUAGCACUUAUCAGCCUCCUUAACCGGUUUGAGUCUAAUCUGAUUUGGUGAAGUCAGUGGGAGAAAUUAGACUAA